UGCCUCAAAGAGGGGGACAACAGUUGGAAACGACUGGUAAUACCGCAUAAGCCCACGGCUCGGCAUCGAGCAGAGGGAAAAGGAGUGAUCCGCUUUGAGAUGGCCUCGCGUCCGAUUAGCUAGUUGGUGAGGUAAUGGCCCACCAAGGCGACGAUCGGUAGCCGGACUGAGAGGUUGAACGGCCACAUUGGGACUGAGACACGGCCCAGACUCCUACGGGAGGCAGCAGUGGGGAAUAUUGCACAAUGGGGGAAACCCUGAUGCAGCGACGCCGCGUGGAGGAAGAAGGUCUUCGGAUUGUAAACUCCUGUUGUUGAGGAAGAUAAUGACGGUACUCAACAAGGAAGUGACGGCUAACUACGUGCCAGCAGCCGCGGUAAAACGUAGGUCACAAGCGUUGUCCGGAAUUACUGGGUGUAAAGGGAGCGCAGGCGGGAGAACAAGUUGGAAGUGAAAUCCAUGGGCUCAACCCAUGAACUGCUUUCAAAACUGUUUUUCUUGAGUAGUGCAGAGGUAGGCGGAAUUCCCGGUGUAGCGGUGGAAUGCGUAGAUAUCGGGAGGAACACCAGUGGCGAAGGCGGCCUACUGGGCACCAACUGACGCUGAGGCUCGAAAGUGUGGGUAGCAAACAGGAUUAGAUACCCUGGUAGUCCACACCGUAAACGAUGAUUACUAGGUGUUGGAGGAUUGACCCCUUCAGUGCCGCAGUUAACACAAUAAGUAAUCCACCUGGGGAGUA
Molecule: ribosomal RNA, 739 nt
Filed under: uncultured bacterium
Lineage: Bacteria
Description: bacterial SSU rRNA
Rfam family: Bacterial small subunit ribosomal RNA
Source: RNAcentral